UGUCCAUGCCCUCCUUGGGCGUUUCCUCCCUAGACUUCGACCGUGUCGUGAAAGCGAUGCGGUCUUUUUUUCAACCGCG
The sequence is a small RNA, 79 nucleotides long. It matches the Rfam family "Makes More Granules Regulator RNA (mmgR)". From Rfam's summary of the family: SuhB later renamed mmgR (makes more granules regulator) was a putative non-coding RNA found multiple times in the Agrobacterium tumefaciens genome and related alpha-proteobacteria. Other non-coding RNAs uncovered in the same analysis include: speF, ybhL, metA, and serC. Several studies inSinorhizobium meliloti showed that suhB element is indeed a non-coding RNA:firstly it was detected on Northern blot and called Sm8RNA, secondly in an RNAseq study referred to as SmelC689.